ACGAACGCUGGCGGGGUGCCUAAUACAUGCAAGUCGAGCGAUGAGGUUCCUUCGGGAGCCGUCAGCGGCGGACGGGUGAGUAACGCGUUGGUAAUUUACCUCUUACAGGGGGAUAACACUUGGAAACGAGUGCUAAUACCGCAUCAGUUACAGGUUGGAAUACCUGUAAUCAAAGGAGUAAUCCGGUAAGAGAUAAGCCUGCGUUGGAUUAGCUAGUUGGUAGGGUAAUGGCCUACCAAGGCAAUGAUCCAUAGUUGGUCUGAGAGGAUGACCAGCCACAGUGGGACUGAGACACGGCCCACACUCCUACGGGAGGCAGCAGUAGGGAAUAUUGCGCAAUGGGCGAAAGCCUGACGCAGCAACCCCGCGUGGAGGAUGAA
This 380-nucleotide ribosomal RNA is filed under the name uncultured bacterium. RNAcentral's name for it is "bacterial SSU rRNA". It matches the Rfam family "Bacterial small subunit ribosomal RNA", at positions 29 to 412 of the family's 1533-position model. The record is from RNAcentral.